GCAUUAGCCUCCCCGGCGGCGGCGGCGGUUGGCCGAGUCUCCGGAGCCGGAAGAUUCGGCCACUUCAGGCCGGCGGCCCAACACUUCGUGGGCCAUGUCGGCCCAGGGGGACUGUGAGUUCCUAGUGCAGCGAGCCCGGGAGCUGGUGCAGCAGGACCUGUGGGCAGCCAAGGCUUGGCUGAUCACGGCCCGCAGCCUCUACCCCGCCGACUUUAACAUCCAGUAUGAGAUGUACACCAUCGAGCGGAAUGCAGAGCGGACUGCCACCGCCGGGAGACUGCUGUACGACAUGUUUGUGAAUUUCCCGGAUCAGCCAGUGGUGUGGAGAGAAAUCAGCAUUAUUACAUCAGCAUUGAGGAAUGAUUCACAGGAUAAACAAACCCAAUUUUUAAGAAGUUUAUUUGAGACUCUUCCUGGUCGGGUCCAGUGUGAAAUGUUACUAAAGGUUACGGAACAAUGCUUCAACACAUUGGAACGAUCAGAAAUGUUGCUUCUACUUUUGAGACGCUUCCCUGAAACAGUGGUGCAACAUGGGGUUGGCCUUGGGGAGGCACUGUUAGAGGCGGAAACUAUUGAAGAACAAGAAUCUCCUGUUAACUGCUUUAGAAAAUUAUUUGUUUGUGAUGUCCUUCCUCUAAUAAUUAACAACCAUGAUGUUCGAUUGCCUGCCAAUCUAUUAUAUAAGUACUUGAACAAAGCAGCUGAAUUUUAUAUCAAUUAUGUUACUAGGUCUACUCAAAUAGAGAACCAGCAUCAAGGUGCCCAAGAAACAUCUGAUUUAAUGUCGCCUAGCAAACGUAGCUCUCAGAAGUACAUAAUAGAAGGGCUGACUGAAAAAUCAUCCCAGAUUGUGGACCCUUGGGAGAGGUUGUUUAAGAUUUUGAAUGUGGUUGGAAUGAGAUGUGAAUGGCAGAUGGACAAAGGAAGACGAAGCUAUGGUGAUAUUUUGCAUAGAAUGAAGGAUCUCUGCAGAUAUAUGAACAACUUUGAUAAUGAAGCUCAUGCAAAAUAUAAAAACCAAGUGGUUUAUUCCACCAUGUUGGUCUUCUUCAAGAAUGCAUUCCAGUAUGUCAAUAGCAUACAGCCAUCUCUCUUCCAAGGUCCUAAUGCGCCAAGCCAAGUUCCACUGGUUCUUCUUGAGGAUAUAUCAAAUGUGUAUGGUGAUAUAGAAAUUGAUCGUAAUAAACACAUACAUAAAAAGAGGAAGCUAGCUGAGGGAAGAGAAAAGACCAUGAGUUCAGAUGAUGAGGACUGUUCGGCAAAAGGAAGGAAUCGUCACAUUGUCAUCAAUAAAGCAGAACUUACUAACUCAAUUGAAGUGUUAGAAAGCUUCAAAUUGGCCCGGGAGAGCUGGGAGUUGCUCUAUUCCCUAGAAUUCCUUGACAAGGAAUUCACAAGAAUUUGUUUGGCAUGGAAGACGGAUACUUGGCUUUGGUUAAGAAUCUUCCUCACUGAUAUGAUCAUCUAUCAGGGUCAAUAUAAAAAGGCAAUAGCCAGCCUGCAUCAUUUAGCGGCUCUCCAGGGAUCACUUCCUCAGCCCCAGAUCACCGGACAGGGGACCUUGGAGCACCAGAGGGCACUCAUCCAGCUAGCAACGUGCCACUUUGCUCUAGGGGAGUACAGACUGACAUGUGAAAAAGUCCUUGAUUUGAUGUGCUACAUGGUGCUCCCCAUUCAAGAUGGAGGCAAGUCACAGGACGAACCCUCAAAAAUAAAGCCCAAAUUUAGAAAAGGGUCGGACCUGAAGCUUUUGCCGUGCACCAGCAAGGCUGUCAUGCCGUACUGCCUGCAUUUAAUGUUAGCUUGUUUCAAGCUUAGAGCUUUCACGGACAGCAGGGAUGACAUGGCGCUGGGGCAUGUGAUCGUGCUGCUUCAGCAGGAGUGGCCACGGGGAGAGAACCUUUUCUUGAAAGCGGUCAACAAGAUUUGCCAACAAGGAAAUUUCCAAUAUGAGAAUUUUUUCAAUUAUGUUACAAACAUUGAUAUGCUGGAGGAAUUCGCCUACUUAAGAACUCAGGAAGGUGGGAAAAUUCAUCUGGAAUUACUACCCAAUCAAGGAAUGCUGAUCAAACCUUUAUACAUUAGGUUGCUUCAGCAAGAUGGACUGGACAGCUCAUCUUCCCAUCUCCAUUUACUUCCCUAAGACUGUGAAUACAAACUAUGGGAACAAUAAUUGCAGGUUCAAAAUAUUCUUAACAGUGUUUGAGAAGAAAAUUGCUUUUUGACAUGGGAGCCUAGGUAACCCCUUUUGUAUUGUGAUUUCUUUUCUAGGUUUUGAGGCUGGAUAUACAAAUAUACCUUUAAUAGCUUUUAGUUAAUUUCCAUUAAGAGUAACUAUAUAAAUUAUCAUAUAGAACCAACUUCAUUUACUUAGGAUGAAACCUACGGAUGAUUCUCACUUUACUUAGGUAACGCUGAACUGGAAGUGGGAGAGAAUGGAUUGCCAAAAAAUGGACAGUUGAAUCUCAGGUUAUUAUACUGAAACCUUUCUUUUUUAGCCAGUUUUUAUUGAGCUAAGCAGUGACCAGGUUACAUGCAGACAACCCUAGGACAAAGAAUGAAAUCAAGGGACUAUUGGACACCCAGAUAAUAUCACUGUUAAGGGUUGUUUAGGGCAAGGCAUUGAUACACAGAAUGCAUUUCUAGGCUUUGAGGGAUAACUCCAUGCUCCCAUGUUGGUCAUUAUAACCCUUAGUUUCUUCUAACUCCCCUGUAGAAGACCACUAAGCCUCGUAGGAAACCUGCUCUUCCAUCAGCUUGGAGGCAGGAAUUGGCAGUGAGUUAACAUUGUAGGAAUUUGUCCAGUCUUCACUGUGUGUCUCAAGGUUCAUUUGAAACCUGCAUUUCAAAUUACUUAUGCCUAAACUACAGUGGGAGAAGCAAGCUGCGUACGCCAGAGCACUCUUGCUAAUUGAGGUAUGAUUAGAACCUUGAGUAAAACUAUAUUCCUUUUCCCGUUGGGAUGCAAACAAAUUCUCUGAAGCCACUGAAGACCUUUUGGGUGGGCCCUGAAGCCGAGUGGCAGAGAUGUUGUGAACAGUGUACAGCCCCUCCCCUUGGGUAAGGUUGUGAGUCUGUCCUAGUUGUGGCAUCUCGGAUGCAAGCAGGUACAGUACAAACACUGGGGCACCUGGGGCUGCCUGACAUUUUGCUCUUAUGUAUUUUAAAAUAGAGAAAAAUUUCUAUGCUGAUAUUUGUGGUAUCUUAGUUGCAUUAGACUGGAUGAAAAUGGAAAACAGUGUCUUGUGUAUGCUCUGAAUAGGGUGGACAAUAAUAUUCUGUGAGUUGAUCACCCAGCUAAUACACUAAAUCUUUGUUGUUACAGAAUUCUGCAAAGCCAUGUGUCCCAGACUCUUUUUUCCCCCCAUUUUUCCUUUUUUCAGUACUUUUUGCAAUUCAAACUCAACCUUUCUUUAUCAGAAAAAUUGCCAGCCCCUCUAGUCCUCUCGAAAGGGCCUCUUCACUUUGGGGCUUCAAUCCUGUCAAGGAUGGUUACAAAAAGUCACCAGGUUUAUUUCUGGGAUUGGCGUGGGCAUGAGAAGAGUGGAGAGUGAAGGAUGCUGGAUUUGAAAACGUGUCUUCUCAAGUGUUAACCCCUCUCCCCACCGCCAUUCAGUUGCAUCUCAUCGUCCUUCCUCAGUGGUUGCUUUUUAUGCCAAAUCUCAAGCAGGCUGAGCUCGGGGACCAGGAUCCAAGAUGCCUCUGGACAGGCCCCAGCAGCGGGUGCAGUGAGAGGGCUCGCUAGCUUCUCCCCAUCGUCCUGACAGCUGCAGCCAGGGGCCUGUGGAGGUUAAAGCGUUUCUGUAUAGUCUGCUUCCAGUCUUGUGCAUUUUCUCUGGCGUGUUGUUUUUGCAGUGCAGGGUGAGUCGGUGUGGGUGUUUGAAUGCUGCUGUUUGCUGUUUUUUAAAGGCCUUCUAGCCCUCCCAUGGGGUUACUGCAGCAGGAAUUCUUACCUGUGCUUCAGCCCAGCAUACAGACUGCUGACAGGCACCACACGGUCACUCGGGGC
Hipposideros armiger (great roundleaf bat) is the source of this 4009-nucleotide RNA transcript. It is a transcript of the gene named integrator complex subunit 10, with no coding region annotated. NCBI's taxonomy places the organism in Eukaryota, Metazoa, Chordata, Mammalia, Chiroptera, Hipposideridae. The record is from RefSeq and is a predicted model, not a curated record. The transcript has 18 exons.